RNAcentral lists this ribosomal RNA (470 nucleotides) under uncultured bacterium. Its description in RNAcentral is "partial 16S ribosomal RNA". It matches the Rfam family "Bacterial small subunit ribosomal RNA", at positions 28 to 507 of the family's 1533-position model. The record is from RNAcentral.
GACGAACGCUGGCGGCGUGCUUAACACAUGCAAGUCGAACGGUAAACGCGGGCGCUUGCUCUCUCCGCGACUGUCGAGCACGGGUGAGUAACAUGUGAGCAAUCUGCUUCGAACUCUGGGAUCAGCGUUAGACACGAGGUAUAAUACCGGAUACGCCCCGGGUGGACAUCGUCUCCUGGUGGAAAGAACCGCGGUUGGGGAUGAGCUCGCGGCCUAUCAGCUUGUUGGUGAGGUAACGGCUCACCAAGGCGACGACGGGUAGCCGGCCUGAGAGGGUGACCGGCCACACUGGGACUGAGACACGGCCCAGACUCCUACGGGAGGCAGCAGUGGGGAAUAUUGCACAAUGGGCGGAAGCCUGAUGCAGCAACGCCGCGUGAGGGACGACGGCCUUCGGGUUGUAAACCGCUUUUAGCAGUGAAGAAGCGAAAGUGACGGUACCUGCAGAAAAAGCACCGGCUAACUACGUG